UCUACAGCAGAAGACGCUGUAGAAUUACUUCCAAGAAAAGCUACUGGAAGAAAGGAUUAUUCAAUUGCAAGCCAAAUCAAUAAUUAAUACUUUUUUUCAUAUUGAUCAGGAUAAGAUGAGUAAAACAGUUGUUUGGAUCUUAUCCUGAUGAUGAGUAAAACAGUUGUUCAUGUAUCGUGAUUAUACAUAUAGUUGCACAAACUCAUGACUACUCGCAUUGCUUUCUUGAGAGAAAGAUAGUUUACGCAGUAAUAUAUUUUGGCUAUUUGUAGUUUGGCAGCAUCGUGAUGUUAUUGAUUGGGUUUCAGUUUCAAUUACAAGUUUGUUCGAUAAACGACUGUUGACUCAAUUUUAAAAUUUUCUACAUAUUUCGUAUAACUUUAAUAUGAUUUUACAGUUUACCGAUUGAACCAUUAAUGAACAUGAAUAAUUCCAGUGAUUCUGAUGUGUCUCUGGAACAAAAUGAAAUUAGUCAGACUGAGCUGAACGGAAAUUUGCCGGAAAAUUCUGCUUUGUUCAAGACUAGUGAACUGAGCUCCACAUUAUCCAAGUAUAAUUUAAAUGAAGAUGCAUAUUCUGAUGAUGAAUCUUAUGGUGCUCCUGUUGAAAUUUUAGCUGAGUUUUUGUCAACGCUUAUGUCUCGUGACUAUAAAAGUCUUAUAUUAUUGCAAGCUAAUUUUGCAGUAUGAACCAGAUAAUAAAACCGUACAAGAUUUCUAUCCACUGAUACUGAAAAGAAUCAAUUUUGUUGAUAAUUCUGAAUCUGAGGAAGGAAGCUGUUACACAUCCAAAUCAGAAAACUCAACAGAAUAUUUUUCUAGUACUUCUUUUGGUACUGAGAAUAUGUCUGCAUGUUCUUCUUUUAUGAGGAAGAGGAACUGUCUCUUGACCAUUCACAAUAAAACAAACUGUGUCAUUUACCUUCAGCUGUUCUAAGCUUGUUAAAGUAGCACUUUGUGAUAUAGCAGUACAAAAUUACUUUCUCUUGCUUUUUAUAUAGGUUAUUUGAAUGCCUGUGAUAUUUUUUAGAAAAUGUGCAGAUUUAUUGUUUAUUUUUAAAAUAAAAUAUUCCUUAUUUCUGAUGAACUAUUUUUAUAGCAUUGUUAUAUGUAAUAUUUUAUACCUGUUUAUUUAAAAUGAAGUUGUCAGUUUGUUUUAUUGUGUUCAAAAUAUUUGUUAUAACUUUUAUCUUGACCCUAUUUUUCAAUUUUAUUUUCCUUGUAACAAAAGUAGUUUUUUUGCCACGUUAUAUAAAGUUAAUGUGUAAUGAGUUAAAGAGUAAAGCAAGUUAUUUAAAAACUAGUUUUCCUUUUUGUGGAAGUUUUAAGUGUAAAAUAAUUUCCUUCAGAUCUUGAACACAAAGGCAACUGUUCAUUUUUAUGUAAGUAUUAAUUAUUUGCUGAAUCAAAAAUUAAACAUUUCUAUAAAUAAAGAGUUAUAUAUUUUUGUUAUUAUCUGAACAUAUAAUUUCAUGUUAAAUUUUUAAAUUGUUAUUUCUUCACUUAUGGAUGCAAGUUAGAGUAACUUUCUAUGUGUGCUAAAAUGUUUCAACUCUCACCUUAGUUAUGACUCUAAACUGUAUUUAUAUACUAAUGUGUUCUUUAAAAUUAUAAAUAGUAAAUAAAUAGAUUUAAACUACUUCCUUGAGCUUCUCUUUAAAAGCAUCAUGAAAUUUCCGUAAAAAAUUAAAUGACGUUGUAUACAAUAAAAUCCCAUUUUAUCAAACUUCAGUUAAUUGACAUCUGAUUUAAACUGAAUGCUGUAGUAAACUAGGCACAACUUGUAAAGCUGAAAAGAAAACUAGGCACAACUUGUAAAGCUUUUUUUCCCCCUUUCUUUUUCCCCAUUUUAUUUUAUUCAAAAGUAAAUGCAAUAUCCACUGCUUGUUGAAAUCUCUUCCAUUUUAAACAUAUUUGAGUUAAGCAGCUGAGUAAUAGACAGUGAUUUGUAUAUUGAAAAUUCUGAUAUUUACCAAAUAAGAUAGCAUCUAAUGAUAAAUCUAGUAAUUAAUACCUAUAAUAAUGAAAAAUUAAUGCUACAAUUCAACUAUUAAUGAAGUUUUUAAAUUUAUUUUUAAUUAUUUUUUAUAAUUAAAUACUUGAUGAAAUUUUAAACUUUUAUAAAGAACUGAUCUGUCCAUAUAUAUAUUUUUCAUAUUGUUCAUCAACAGUUCUUCAGAUGUGCACUCUCAAGUUCAUAAAAUUGCUGAUAGGUUCUCUGAUCACCAUCUUUCAAAUCAAGAGUUUGUACAUUUUUUUAAAUUUCUUGAGGUUGGCCUGUCAUCACUUUCUGAAGCUCAUUUAGCACUUUCUAAAAUAAUGUAGUCAACUUUUCAUGUACUAUGUCAGUAUUAGCACCUGUUGCAACAUAUUCUAAAAAUGUUAUCUUCAUACUUUCUCCACUGAUUUUUGAACCAUAAGCUAUAGCUCUCUGAGUAAAUACCAUCAUUGUUUCUUCUGAAUGUUUAUUUUUUUGAAAGCAACCACAUUUGAAACCACAUUUUUGAAAGCAACUUUUAACUGCAUUUUAAGACUUUUCCCUAUGCACUGACUGUAAUAUAUAUAGCCUCUAUAUAUCCUUCUCUGCUUCAUUAGUCACUAAGUUAUGCUGUAAUUACUUUCAUUUAACAUAACACACAAGUUUAUUUAGAGAAUUUAUAAAUGAGUGUGACAUAUGCUUUUAUAAUUUUAAACUGAGUGAUAAAUAUUUUUUGUUAUUUUGAUAUAAAUGUAUGAAAUACCAAGUUUCCUCUUUAUUUCCUGAAGUAAUUACUUCUAUGGAAAUUGUUUAAGCAGUUGAUAUUUGUACUUUUGAUAUAACAUAAUAUCAUUCAAAAUGCUGAUAAUAAAUCUGUAAAUAAAGAAAUUAAAUCUGUUGUGAUUUACAUUUUAUAUAAAUUGGCAGUUCUGCAUUUUCGUUUUUACCUCAGAAAUUGCUUUUAGCCUUAUACAUUUUUUUAAAAUCUUUAGAUGGAUAUUUCGUAUAUGUAUUCUUAUCAUUUGCUUCCCAAUAAUGAAUCAUACAAGUUUUUUAGACUUCUUAAUUAUUUCAUUGCAGGUAGAAUACUUUAUGCUUGGCUAGGGAAAUUAUUCUGUUUAAUCAGAAAAAAUCAGGAAAAUUUAUGAAUUUUACCAUCCCUUGAGUAUAGUGAAACCCCUUACUUGAAUAUUCUGGCUGGAGUAGUUUUAUGCCAUUGCACAUGCAUACAGUUUCAUUACUUCCUUUUAAAGAAUUAGUUCAGCACAACAGAAUUUUGGUAUUCAGUACAUUUAAAAUCUGUAAACAAUCAGUAAUUGAUAUUUAAAAUGAGAUACAGUAAAAGCUAAGAAAAACAGAGCAGCACCGAUACCUCUCAGUUUAUAUAUUGCCUUGUAUAUUUAUUUUAAUGACAGCUUCCAGACCCAGGCCUAAUGUCAUCUAAAAAUUGAAGUAUGUUUUGGAGCAGUUGUAUAUAAUAUACGUAUGUGAAUCAAUUACUCAUUGAGUUGUGGAUAUUAAGUUCUAACUAUUGUUUUGUCAUUGUCUGAUAUCAAUAAUAUCUGUUUAGUCAGAUAAGUCAUUUGCCUAAAAGAUGUAACAUUCAUGUAUUAUUCUCAUUUAGUAUAAAAUUUAUGAUUUUGCUGUUUUCAAUAUUUGUCUUGCAACAAAUGUUUUUAGAAACCAUUCAUUGAGCCUUGGAUAACUUCCCUGCUUCAUUCUGUGUGUAACACAAAUCAUCUUAGGCACUAGAGUUAUUUUUCAUAUUAUAUGCUGUUCAGUUUUUUCCUUUCCAGAAAAAGUUCUGUUCUACAGUCAAAAUAAAACUGGUUAAAAUUUAUAAAUUUUAUGCAAUAUAGUUUUUGGUUUUAGAUUUUAUGUGACUAGAAUGAAUGUUAUAUACCUUAUAUUUUCAAUUUGUAAUUUAAUCACUUUGUCACUUCAAGCUCAAUUUAUGUCAAAUUAUUUAUCAAGUGCCAAUAAAUAAAUGUAUGAAGUGAU
This 3978-nucleotide long non-coding RNA is filed under the name Stegodyphus dumicola. Its description in RNAcentral is "uncharacterized LOC118194061, transcript variant X1". The record is from RNAcentral. Lineage: Eukaryota; Metazoa; Arthropoda; Arachnida; Araneae; Eresidae.